This 510-nucleotide ribosomal RNA is filed under the name uncultured bacterium. Its description in RNAcentral is "bacterial SSU rRNA". It matches the Rfam family "Bacterial small subunit ribosomal RNA", at positions 15 to 518 of the family's 1533-position model. The record is from RNAcentral.
GAUCAUGGCUCAGGAUGAACGCUAGCGACAGGCUUAACACAUGCAAGUCGAGGGGCAGCAUAAAAGUAGCAAUACUUGGUGGCGACCGGCGCACGGGUGAGUAACGCGUAUGCAACCUACCUAUCAGAGGGGAAUAACCCGGCGAAAGUCGGACUAAUACCGCAUAAAACAGGGGCACCGCAUGGUGAUAUUUGUUAAAGAAAUUCGCUGAUAGAUGGGCAUGCGUUCCAUUAGGUAGUUGGUGAGGUAACGGCUCACCAAGCCGACGAUGGAUAGGGGAACUGAGAGGUUGGUCCCCCACACUGGUACUGAGACACGGACCAGACUCCUACGGGAGGCAGCAGUGAGGAAUAUUGGUCAAUGGGCGAGAGCCUGAACCAGCCAAGUCGCGUGAAGGAAGAAGGAUCUAUGGUUCGUAAACUUCUUUUGCAGGGGAAUAAAGUGCAGGACGUGUCCUGUUUUGUAUGUACCCUGAGAAUAAGGAUCGGCUAACUCCGUGCCAGCCGCUGC